This 1256-nucleotide ribosomal RNA is filed under the name fungal sp. RNAcentral's name for it is "eukaryotic LSU rRNA". The stretch from base 662 to 1256 matches the Rfam family "Eukaryotic large subunit ribosomal RNA", at positions 1 to 604 of the family's 3401-position model. The record is from RNAcentral. Lineage: Eukaryota; Fungi.
UUACUGUGGGGGGCCCAGGUUAGACUUGGCAAGGGGGGUGCAGAUUCUACUGUUUUCACUGUACCCCGCUUGCGACUGAGGCCCCCUUUUAAGAGUAACGGGUGCAACAGGUUUCGUGUCCCAUCUGCAAGCCGAACGCGAGCUACAGAUCUGGACACCUUUGCCACAGUUAGGGUUAAGUCUAUCGCCCCGCGGAUUGAUCACGGUCUCCGUCGUGUGCGCACUGCUGUUGUAUGUCUGAAUCCGUGUUUGGUGUACUGUAUGUUUCCUCGGUGGGCUCGCCUGCCAGUGAGGACCCCCUAAAACCCUUUGUUGUAGCUGUACUGUCUGAUCAACAAACAAACAAUUAAAACUUUCAACAACGGAUCUCUUGGUUCUGGCAUCGAUGAAGAACGCAGCGAAAUGCGAUAAGUAGUGUGAAUUGCAGAAUUCAGUGAAUCAUCGAAUCUUUGAACGCACAUUGCGCCCUUUGGUAUUCCUUAGGGCAUGCCUGUUCGAGCGUCAUUUAAACCCUCAAGCCCUGCUUGGUGUUGGGUGUCUGUCCUGCCUCUGGCAUGGACUCGCCUUGAAAACAUUGGCGGUUGUGUAUCGACUGGAAGCGCAGCAAAGGCGUCCCUUCCAGCCCGGUGCCCUCCCUCCAGGAAGCCAACCUCAAUCAUCUUGACCUCGGAUCAGGUAGGGAUACCCGCUGAACUUAAGCAUAUCAAUAAGCGGAGGAAAAGAAACCAACAGGGAUUGCCCUAGUAACGGCGAGUGAAGCGGCAACAGCUCAAAUUUGAAAUCUGGUCCUUUCAGGGCCCGAGUUGUAAUUUGUAGAGGGCGCUUUGGCGUUGGCAUAGGUCUAAGUUCCUUGGAACAGGGCGUCACAGAGGGUGAGAACCCCGUACGUGGCCGCUUGCCUUCGCCGUGUAAAGCCCCUUCGACGAGUCGAGUUGUUUGGGAAUGCAGCUCUAAUUGGGAGGUAAAUUUCUUCUAAAGCUAAAUACUGGCCAGAGACCGAUAGCGCACAAGUAGAGUGAUCGAAAGAUGAAAAGCACUUUGGAAAGAGAGUCAAAAAGCACGUGAAAUUGUUGAAAGGGAAGCGCUUGCAGCCAGACGUGCUCGUAGUUGCUCAUCCGGGCUCUCGCCCGGUGCACUCUUCUGCGAGCAGGCCAGCAUCAGUUCUGACGGUUGGAUAAAGACCCAUGUCAUGUACCUUCUCCUCGGGGAAGGCCUUAUAGGGUGGGUGACAUACAACCAGCUGGACUGAGUCCGCG